This 336-nucleotide ribosomal RNA is filed under the name Enterococcus faecium. Its description in RNAcentral is "bacterial SSU rRNA". It matches the Rfam family "Bacterial small subunit ribosomal RNA", at positions 1 to 315 of the family's 1533-position model. Lineage: Bacteria; Bacillati; Bacillota; Bacilli; Lactobacillales; Enterococcaceae. The record is from RNAcentral.
UUUUAUGAGAGUUUGAUCCUGGCUCAGGACGAACGCUGGCGGCGUGCCUAAUACAUGCAAGUCGAACGCUUCUUUUUCCACCGGAGCUUGCUCCACCGGAAAAAGAGGAGUGGCGAACGGGUGAGUAACACGUGGGUAACCUGCCCAUCAGAAGGGGAUAACACUUGGAAACAGGUGCUAAUACCGUAUAACAAUCGAAACCGCAUGGUUUUGAUUUGAAAGGCGCUUUCGGGUGUCGCUGAUGGAUGGACCCGCGGUGCAUUAGCUAGUUGGUGAGGUAACGGCUCACCAAGGCCACGAUGCAUAGCCGACCUGAGAGGGUGAUCGGCCACAUUG